GCCAAGUUCAACUUGGGCCGGCCCGGGUCCCGGCCAGAAACCACCCGACACACAGCGGUUGUACUUUCUAGACUCUGGAGUUGACGUACAAACGGAUACGGCGGCGCGCAAGAAAAGUGCCCCGCUUGAUUCCAGCACCUGCAGCUAACAGCAGAGUGACAGUAUGGACGCUACCUCCUGCCGUCGGGAAUCAUGGGUGCCCCGCGUCGCGCGUUCUAGUCAACGCGGUUCUGGAAGCCUCGCCAGAGCAAUAAGACAAGAAAAAGGAGUAAGGGUUACAAAGGUUGGAAAGAAGUAGAACCAUCGUUAUUUGUAGGUGAUACGACUGUAAACACGGGAAAUAGGAAAUGAUUCGCAGCCACGUUAUUAGAACGAGUAACUGAAUUUAGCAAGGUCGUUGAGCACAGUGAUAAAAAUCCGUUGUAUUUCUGUA
Molecule: long non-coding RNA, 433 nt
Organism: Hyaena hyaena (striped hyena)
Lineage: Eukaryota; Metazoa; Chordata; Mammalia; Carnivora; Hyaenidae
Exons: 2
Source: RefSeq, a predicted model, not a curated record